GUGGAUUAGAUACCCUAGUAGUCCACGCUGUAAACGAUGUCAACUAGCUGCUUGUGUCUUCGUGACGUGGGUAGCGCAGCUAACGCACUAAGUUGACCGCCUGGGGAGUACGGCCGCAAGGUUAAAACUCAAAUGAAUUGACGGGGGCCCGCACAAGCGGUGGAGCAUGUGGUUUAAUUCGACGCAACGCGAAGAACCUUACCAGGUCUUGACAUCCAGUGAACUUUCCAGAGAUGGAUUGGUGCCUUCGGGAACACUGAGACAGGUGCUGCAUGGUCGUCGUCAACU
Molecule: ribosomal RNA, 288 nt
Filed under: uncultured bacterium
Lineage: Bacteria
Description: partial 16S ribosomal RNA
Rfam family: Bacterial small subunit ribosomal RNA
Source: RNAcentral